This 74-nucleotide transfer RNA is filed under the name Aporhodopirellula sallentina SM41. RNAcentral describes it as "Rhodopirellula sallentina SM41 tRNA". It matches the Rfam family "tRNA". Rfam says of the family: Transfer RNA (tRNA) molecules are approximately 80 nucleotides in length. Their secondary structure includes four short double-helical elements and three loops (D, anti-codon, and T loops). Further hydrogen bonds mediate the characteristic L-shaped molecular structure. tRNAs have two regions of fundamental functional importance: the anti-codon, which is responsible for specific mRNA codon recognition, and the 3' end, to which the tRNAs corresponding amino acid is attached (by aminoacyl-tRNA synthetases). tRNAs cope with the degeneracy of the genetic code in two manners: having more than one tRNA (with a specific anti-codon) for a particular amino acid; and 'wobble' base-pairing, i.e. permitting non-standard base-pairing at the 3rd anti-codon position. The record is from Rfam by way of RNAcentral. Lineage: Bacteria; Pseudomonadati; Planctomycetota; Planctomycetia; Pirellulales; Pirellulaceae.
GGGCGAUUAGCUCAGUUGGUUAGAGCGCUGCUUUCACACGGCAGAGGCCAGAGAUUCGAGUUCUCUAUCGCCCA